Molecule: long non-coding RNA, 256 nt
Organism: Herpailurus yagouaroundi (jaguarundi)
Lineage: Eukaryota; Metazoa; Chordata; Mammalia; Carnivora; Felidae
Exons: 3
Source: RefSeq, a predicted model, not a curated record
UUUUUUUUCAAGAGAAUAUUAAAUCAUCUAUUGAUUACACAUGAUAAUGGAUGAUACACAAGCUUUAAUCCCAUCUAUAAUUUUAUCUGAUACCAUAAUUCAAUUUAGAUAUAUUGCAUAGGAUGUGCUAACAAUCGUAUUAAUAACCAAAUAAACUCCAGGACUUUGCUUGGGUGACCCUUUUAAUGGUGACCUCCAGGUCACAACACAUUAACUGUCAGUUCAACCACACCAAUAGAUCUGAAGAGCACAUGUC